RNAcentral lists this ribosomal RNA (442 nucleotides) under uncultured bacterium. RNAcentral's name for it is "partial 16S ribosomal RNA". It matches the Rfam family "Bacterial small subunit ribosomal RNA", at positions 338 to 795 of the family's 1533-position model. The record is from RNAcentral.
ACUACGGGAGGCAGCAGUGGGGAAUAUUGGGCAAUGGGCGCAAGCCUGACCCAGCAACGCCGCGUGAAGGAAGAAGGCUUUCGGGUUGUAAACUUCUUUUAAGAGGGAAGAGCAGAAGACGGUACCUCUUGAAUAAGCCACGUCUAACUACGUGCCAGCAGCAGAGGUCAUCCGUAGGUGACAAGCGUUGUCCGGAUUUACUGGGUGUAAAGGGCGUGCAGCAGUGAAGACAAGUCAGAUGUGAAAGCCCGCGGCUCAACCGCGGAACUGCAUUGGGAACUGUUUUUCUUGAGUACCGGAGAGGUCAUCGGAAUUCCUUGUGUAGCGGUGAAAUGCGUAGAUAUAAGGAAGAACACCAGUGGCGAAGGCGGAUGACUGGACGGCAACUGACGGUGAGGCUCGAAAGCAUGGGUAGCGAACAGGAUUAGAUACCCCUGUAGUC